UGACGUAGGUGGCAAGCGUUGUCCGGAAUUAUUGGGCGUAAAGCGCGCGCAGGCGGUCCUUUAAGGUCUGAUGUGAAAGCCCCACGGCUCAACCGUGGAGGGUCAUUGGAAACUGGGGGACUUGAGUGCAGGAGAGAAGAGUGGAAUUCCACGUGUAAGCGGUGAAAUGCGUAGAGGAAUGUGGAGGAACGCCAGUAGGCGAAGGCGGUUCUGCC
Molecule: ribosomal RNA, 215 nt
Filed under: uncultured bacterium
Lineage: Bacteria
Description: partial 16S ribosomal RNA
Rfam family: Bacterial small subunit ribosomal RNA
Source: RNAcentral